This 98-nucleotide transfer RNA is filed under the name Desulfobacterales bacterium. RNAcentral describes it as "tRNA-Sec". It matches the Rfam family "Selenocysteine transfer RNA". RNAcentral also lists the same sequence under 1 other name. The record is from RNAcentral. Lineage: Bacteria; Pseudomonadati; Thermodesulfobacteriota; Desulfobacteria; Desulfobacterales.
GGAAGUGCGCAGCUACCUGGUGGGGCUCCCGGGCUUCAAACCCGGUGUGGGGCGUUAACACCGUCCCGGGUGGGUUCGAUUCCCAUGCACUUCCGCCA